GCCCUUUUCCUCUUGCACUACU
RNAcentral lists this microRNA (22 nucleotides) under Gadus morhua (Atlantic cod). RNAcentral describes it as "gmo-miR-130b-5p". Its record names the gene gmo-miR-130b-5p. The record is from miRBase by way of RNAcentral. Lineage: Eukaryota; Metazoa; Chordata; Actinopteri; Gadiformes; Gadidae.